GUAGGAACCAACAGGUAUUGCCUCAGUAACGGCGAGUGAAGCGGCAAGAGCUCAACUUUGGAAUCGCUCCGGCGAGUUGUAGUCUGGAGGUGGCCACCACGAGGUGUUCUAGCAGCAGGCAAGUCCUUUGGAACAAGGCGCCAGCGAGGGUGACAGCCCCGUACCUGCUUUUGCUAGUGCUUCCUGUGGCCCACCGACGAGUCGAGUUGUUUGGGAAUGCAGCUCUAAGUGGGUGGUAAAUUCCAUCUAAGGCUAAAUAUUGGCGAGAGACCGAUAGCGAACAAGUACAGUGAUGGAAAGAUGAAAAGCACUUUGAAAAGAGAGUGAAACAGUACGUGAAAUUGUUGAAAGGGAAGGGCUUGCACCCAGACACGGUUUCGGCCGGGCCAGCAUCAAGUAGAACGGGGUUAAAAGACCUGGGGAAUGUAGCUACCUCUUGGUAGUGUUAUAGCCCUUGGGUGAUGACCCCUGUUUUGCUUGAGGACAGCGGUCUCUAGGAUGCUGGCGCAAUGGUUGCAAGCCACCCGUCUUGAAACACGGACCAAGGAGUCUAACGUCUAUGCGAGUGUACGGGUGAAAAACCCCUGCGCGGAAUGAAAGUAAGAGGUUGGAACCCUCUCGGGGGUGCACAAUCGACCGACCCAGAAGUGCUCGGACGGGUUUGAGUAGGAGCAUAGCUGUUGGGACCCGAAAGAUGGUGAACUAUACCUGAAUAGGGUGAAGCCAGAGGAAACUCUGGUGGAGGCUCGUAGCGGUUCUGACGUGCAAAUCGAUCGUCGAAUUUGGGUAUAGGGGCGAAAGACUAAUCGAACCAUCUAGUAGCUGGUUC
RNAcentral lists this ribosomal RNA (829 nucleotides) under Candidozyma auris. RNAcentral describes it as "eukaryotic LSU rRNA". It matches the Rfam family "Eukaryotic large subunit ribosomal RNA", at positions 56 to 957 of the family's 3401-position model. Lineage: Eukaryota; Fungi; Ascomycota; Pichiomycetes; Serinales; Metschnikowiaceae. The record is from RNAcentral.